AAGUACUUCCUUUGACAAAAGUAGAUUUCAGUGAAAGCACUUGUGAAGGGGUGGGGCCUGUUGAAGGAAUUAAAAGCAGGUGUGACCUUCAAGUUAGAGUUCUAGCAAGCUAGGAAGAACAGAGGACCAAAUGAGUUGUCUCGGAUCUUUGGUGUCGGGAGGAAUGGACAAGAUCCUGAGAACAUCAAUUUUAAUUCUAUGGCUUCAACUAGGCUGGGUGAGCGGCCAAGAGAAGAGUGGCCAGGAGCAGGUGAAGCAGGGCCCUCCAUCUCUGAUAGUCCAGGAAGGAGCUUUUUCUACUCUGAACUGCACUUAUGAGAACACAGCGUUUGACUACUUCGUAUGGUACCGGCAAUACCCUGGUCAAGGCCCUGCAUUACUACUAGCCGUGUUCUCGGUUAAGCGCACAAAGGAAGAUGGGAGAUUCACAGUUUUCGUCAGUGAAAGUGCCAAACAAUUUUCACUGCACAUCAUGGCUUGCCAGCCGGGAGACUCAGCCACCUACUUCUGUGCAGCAGCAAGUGCACAGUGCUCCCCAGGCACCUGCUGCCUGUACCCAAACCUGAAGCUGUGGCUCCAGCCAAGCCCUACUGUGCGGAGGAAGCAUUCACACGCAUGCGCAGUCUGAUUGGCCACAAAAAAUUCUCGAUACAUUCAAGAGGACUGGAAUGAUACAGACUUUAUUUUCUGAUCAAAGCAAAAUGGAUUCUGAAGGUCAACUGCAAAAAAAAAAUUGUCUCUGGAAACUCUCAAGUAUUUGGAAUUUAAGCCUUGAACUUUAAAAUACAAUAGCCUCCUCUUAACCACAGUUUCCUUUUCUGUGGUUUCAGUUGCCUGUGGUCAACCAUAGUCUGGAGGCAGAUGGGCCUCCUUCAGGCAUAUUGUCAACUAACAGUAGGUCACCAUGCCUACUCCGU
Molecule: non-coding RNA, 917 nt
Organism: Acinonyx jubatus (cheetah)
Lineage: Eukaryota; Metazoa; Chordata; Mammalia; Carnivora; Felidae
Source: the annotation of a RefSeq genome assembly